AUUCAGAUGACGAGUUCCAAAUAGGACGAAACUCAUGUGCUGAAU
RNAcentral lists this non-coding RNA (45 nucleotides) under Schistosoma margrebowiei. The record is from RNAcentral. Lineage: Eukaryota; Metazoa; Platyhelminthes; Trematoda; Strigeidida; Schistosomatidae.